GGGAAUCUUCCACAAUGGACGCAAGUCUGAUGGAGCAACGCCGCGUGAGUGAAGAAGGUUUUCGGACCGUAAAGCUCUGUUGUUGGUGAAGAAGGAUAGAGGUAGUAACUAGCCUUUAUUUGACGGUAAUCAACCAGAAAGUCACGGCUAACUACGUGCCAGCAGCCGCGGUAAUACGUAGGUGGCAAGCGUUGUCCGGAUUUAUUGGGCGUAAAGCGAGCGCAGGCGGAAGAAUAAGUCUGAUGUGAAAGCCCUCGGCUUAACCGAGGAAUUGCAUCGGAAACUGUUUUCUUGAGUGCAGAAGAGGAGAGUAGAACUCCAUGUGUAGCGGUGGAAUGCGUAGAUAUAUGGAAGAAUACCAGUGGCGAAGGCGGCUCUCUGGUCUGCAACUGACGCUGAGGCUCGAAAGCAUGGGUAGCGAACAGGAUUAGAUACCCUGGUAGUCCAUGCCGUAAACGAUGAGUGCUAAGUGUUGGGAGGCUUCCGCCUCUCAGUGCUGCAGCUAACGCAUUAAGCACUCCGCCUGGGGGAGUACGACCGCAAGGUUGAAAC
This 552-nucleotide ribosomal RNA is filed under the name uncultured bacterium. Its description in RNAcentral is "partial 16S ribosomal RNA". It matches the Rfam family "Bacterial small subunit ribosomal RNA", at positions 357 to 900 of the family's 1533-position model. The record is from RNAcentral.